UUUCUUCGGGGUUAUUUUCAUCUCGGUCCAAGAUGGUCUUGCCAUGGCAGUAAGUUCUCUUCUCCAACCUUCUCAUAAUAUGCAAUCCCACAUGUCAAACCUGUAAAGUUAUGAGAAUAUAUAUCAAUGAACCAGGUUGGGAUGUCUAUUUUCAAGAUCCUCCUGCAAAUUACUAGGCCAAAGACAGUGAUGUUGGGGAACAUUCCCGGGACAGAUAUUUUCCGGGAUCUUCACCAUUACAAAGAAUCGAUGAAGAUCCCGGGUUUCCUUAUCCUAAGCAUUGAAGCUCCUAUCAACUUCGCUAACUCCACAUAUCUGAAUGAGAGGUUGGUUAUCACUUUACACAUUUUGUAAUACCUUACCUAUCUUUAGAUUAAUUAUUCUGUAUCUCUACUGUGUAAUUGGAAAUGGGCUUCUUUUACGAAGGAUCUUGAGAUGGAUUGAAGAAUAUGAAGCCGAAGAUCAUAAGAAGCAGUCAAGCCUUCAAUUUCUG
RNAcentral lists this long non-coding RNA (493 nucleotides) under Gossypium barbadense (sea-island cotton). Its description in RNAcentral is "long non-coding RNA (GBAR_LNC013620)". The record is from RNAcentral. Lineage: Eukaryota; Viridiplantae; Streptophyta; Magnoliopsida; Malvales; Malvaceae.